Molecule: ribosomal RNA, 253 nt
Filed under: uncultured bacterium
Lineage: Bacteria
Description: partial 16S ribosomal RNA
Rfam family: Bacterial small subunit ribosomal RNA
Source: RNAcentral
UACGGAGGAUGCAAGCGUUAUCCGGAAUGAUUGGGCGUAAAGCGUCCGCAGGUGGCUAUGUAAGUCUGCUGUUAAAGAGUCUGGCUCAACCAGAUAAAGGCAGUGGAAACUACAUGGCUAGAGUGCGUUCGGGGCAGAGGGAAUUCCUGGUGGAGCGGUGAAAUGCGUAGGGAUCGGAAAGAACACCAACGGCGAAAGCACUCUGCUGGGCCGACACUGACACUGAGAGACGAAAGCUAGGGGAGCGAAUGGG